Molecule: ribosomal RNA, 300 nt
Filed under: uncultured bacterium
Lineage: Bacteria
Description: bacterial SSU rRNA
Rfam family: Bacterial small subunit ribosomal RNA
Source: RNAcentral
AUUGAACGCUGGCGGCAUGCCUUACACAUGCAAGUCGAACGGCAGCACGGGAGCAAUCCUGGUGGCGAGUGGCGAACGGGUGAGUAAUACAUCGGAACGUGCCCAGUAGUGGGGGAUAGCCGGCGAAAGCCGGAUUAAUACCGCAUACGACCUGAGGGUGGAAAGCGGGGGAGUCGCAAGACCUCGCGCUAUUGGAGCGGCCGAUGUCAGAUUAGCUAGUUGGGGGGUAAAGGCCUACCAAGGCUACGAUCUGUAGUUGGUCUGAGAGGACGGACCAGCCACACUGGGACUGAGACACGG